Molecule: ribosomal RNA, 510 nt
Filed under: uncultured bacterium
Lineage: Bacteria
Description: partial 16S ribosomal RNA
Rfam family: Bacterial small subunit ribosomal RNA
Source: RNAcentral
GACGAACGCUGGCGGCGUGCUUAACACAUGCAAGUCGAACGAAGAGCGAUGGAAGCUUGCUUCUAUCAAUCUUAGUGGCGAACGGGUGUGUAACGCGUAAUCAACCUGCCCUUCAGAGGGGGACAACAGUUGGAAACGACUGCUAAUACCGCAUACGAUCCAAUCUCGGCAUCGGGACUGGAUGAAAGGUGGCCUCUAUUUAUAAGCUAUCACUGAAGGAGGGGAUUGCGUCUGAUUAGCUAGGUGGAGGGGUAACGGCCCACCAAGGCGAUGAUCAGUAGCCGGUCUGAGAGGAGGAACGGCCACAUUGGGACUGAGACACGGCCCAGACUCCUACGGGAGGCAGCAGUGGGGAAUCUUCCGCAAUGGACGAAAGUCUGACGGAGCAACGCCGCGUGAGUGAUGACGGCCUUCGGGUUGUAAAGCUCUGUUAAUCGGGACGAAUGGUUCUUGUGCGAAUAGUGCGAGGAUUUGACGGUACCGGAAUAGAAAGCCACGGCUAACUACGUG